UGUGACUGGGGAUUCUGUUUACAAGGUGU
RNAcentral lists this non-coding RNA (29 nucleotides) under Rattus norvegicus (Norway rat). The record is from RNAcentral. Lineage: Eukaryota; Metazoa; Chordata; Mammalia; Rodentia; Muridae.